GNNAGGGGCGGGUGCCUAAUACAUGCAAGUCGAGCGGACAGAUGGGAGCUUGCUCCCUGAAGUCAGCGGCGGACGGGUGAGUAACACGUGGGCAACCUGCCUGUAAGACUGGGAUAACUCCGGGAAACCGGGGCUAAUACCGGAUAAUUCUUUUCCUCACAUGAGGGAAAGCUGAAAGAUGGCUUCUNGUUUUCCCUUAAAAAUGGGCCCCCGGCCCAUUACCUAUUUGGUGAGGAAACGGCUCACCAAGGCAACAAUGCUUACCCAACCUAAAAGGGGGAUCCGCCCCCCUGGGCCUGAAACACGGCCCUAUUCCCUUC
RNAcentral lists this ribosomal RNA (320 nucleotides) under Bacillus sp. HPCPS16. RNAcentral describes it as "bacterial SSU rRNA". It matches the Rfam family "Bacterial small subunit ribosomal RNA", at positions 42 to 342 of the family's 1533-position model. Lineage: Bacteria; Bacillati; Bacillota; Bacilli; Caryophanales; Bacillaceae. The record is from RNAcentral.